GUUAUUCACAUACCAAGUAUCUUGACUUUAAUCAAUUGUUCGCAGGUUCGAGCCGAGCGAAACGAGACAGCAACGCGUUAGCGUUGACCCCGAAGGGGCGAGGCCGGAGGCCGAGUUAUCCUGCACGACCCACCA
Molecule: small RNA, 135 nt
Filed under: Pectobacterium quasiaquaticum
Lineage: Bacteria; Pseudomonadati; Pseudomonadota; Gammaproteobacteria; Enterobacterales; Pectobacteriaceae
Description: RtT sRNA
Rfam family: RtT RNA
About the family: This family represents a bacterial cis-regulatory element known as RtT RNA. The exact function of RtT is unknown although it is thought that it may be involved in changing the cellular response in relation to amino acid starvation.
Source: RNAcentral